RNAcentral lists this long non-coding RNA (1091 nucleotides) under Olea europaea subsp. europaea. The record is from RNAcentral. Lineage: Eukaryota; Viridiplantae; Streptophyta; Magnoliopsida; Lamiales; Oleaceae.
AGAAGAAUGCAAAUUCGAAAAUUAAAUAACUCUGAAAAUAAUGUGAAAAGUAUGAUAAAUAGAAGGAUAUAGUGGGUUGCCUCCCACCCAGCGCUAGGUUAUAGUCGAUAGCUCGACUUUACCGUAUUGCGUCAUUCUGGUGGUCUAAGAUGAACGGUAUACUUUUCCUUUGAAAAAUCGCUGCCCCAAUAGUGUUUCAAACACUGUCUAUUGACCUUGAAUGUUCCAUUGCUGUCGUAAGUUAUCUCAACUGCCCCAUUUGGAAAUAUCUAUGUAAUAGUAUAUGGACUACACCAUCUCGAUCGCAACUUUCCUGGGAACAGCUUAAACCUAGAGUUGUAGAGUAGCACUUUUUGCCCCACCUUAAGUUCACGCCCCUGAAUAUGCAUAUCAUGCCACUUCUUGGUGCGUUCUUUGUAGAGUCUUGAAUUCUCGUAGGCCUCCAUUCUGAGCUAGAUCUCAUUAAGUUGUAGUAGACGUUUUUCACCCGCAGCCUUCAAGUCCAAAUUCAAUUUCUUCAUUACCCAAUAAGCAUGGUGUUCUAUCUCAAGAGGUAAGUGGCAUGCCUUCCCAAAAAUCAGUCGAUAUGGUGACAUUCCUAUAGGGGUCUUGAAUGCAGACCUAUAGGCCCAUAAGGUGUCGUCCAAUUUCUUAGACCAAUCUUUUCGUAACGAGCUUACUGUGACUUCGAGUAUUUGCUUCAAUUGCCUAUUAGACACUUUGACCUGUCCACUGGUUUGGGGAUGAUAUGCAGUGGCUACACAAUGUUUAACGCCAUAUUUAGUCAACAACUAUUCAAACUGGCGAUUGCAGAAAUGUUUGGCUUCGACCCACUUCGAUACAUAAUCCACAGCUACCAAUAUGUACUGAUUAGAGAAUGAUGGGGGAAAUGGCCCCAUGAAGUCGAUCCCCCAGAUGUCGAAUAGUUUCACCUCCAGGAUAUUGUUCAAAGGCAUUUCUCCUGGAUAUAUUAUCGGUGCGUUGACAUUGGUCACACCUUUUCACGAAUUCAAAAGCAUCCUUAAACAGCAUAGGCCAGUAAAAACUUGAUUGAAGGAUCUUCGUCGCUGUUUUUGAAGCACCAAAAUGCC